CAGUCGCCACGGUAAUACAGAGGAUGCAAGCAUUAUCCGGAAUGAUUGGGCGUAAAGCGUCUGUAGGUGGCUUUUCAAGUCCGCCGUCAAAUCCCAGGGCUCAACCCUGGACAGGCGGUGGAAACUACCAAGCUGGAGUACGGUAGAGGGGGAUGGAAUUCCGCGUGUAGCAGUGAAAUGCGUAGAUAUGCGGAGGAACACCGAUGGCGAAGGCAAUCCCCUGGACCUGUACUGACGCUCAUGCACGAAAGCGUGGGGAGCAAGCAGGAUUAGAGACCCCCGUAGUCCCUGUCUCUUAUAC
RNAcentral lists this ribosomal RNA (301 nucleotides) under uncultured bacterium. Its description in RNAcentral is "partial 16S ribosomal RNA". It matches the Rfam family "Bacterial small subunit ribosomal RNA", at positions 509 to 807 of the family's 1533-position model. The record is from RNAcentral.